CCCCCGCCGCAAGUGGAUAAUAUUAAUAGUGUAAAAAUAUGCAAGUGUUCGGUAAACAGGAAGUUGUCGAGUGAUGAAUCUGAAAACGCAUCACACGGUAAAGCUGACUUAUAUAAAUCCUGAAACCAAAUUUCAGAAAUCCUUGUAUUGUAGUUCCUGAGAAAAAUGUGACGAAAAUUUUCAACUUGGCUAUCAUGUGUAAAAUCAUACAAGUGUUCGGUAAACAGGAAGUUGUCAAGUGAUCAAUCUGAAAACGCAUCACACGGUAUAGCUGAGUUAGAUAAACCCUGAAACCAAAUUUCAGAAAUCCUUGUAUUGUAGUUCCUGAGAAAAAUGCGACGAAAAAUAUUCAUGGGACGGACGGACUGACUGACGGAAGGACAGAC
Molecule: long non-coding RNA, 386 nt
Filed under: Mytilus galloprovincialis (Mediterranean mussel)
Lineage: Eukaryota; Metazoa; Mollusca; Bivalvia; Mytilida; Mytilidae
Source: RNAcentral